Molecule: ribosomal RNA, 510 nt
Filed under: uncultured bacterium
Lineage: Bacteria
Description: partial 16S ribosomal RNA
Rfam family: Bacterial small subunit ribosomal RNA
Source: RNAcentral
GACGAACGCUGGCGGCGUGCUUAACACAUGCAAGUCGAACGAAGAGCGAUGGGAGCUUGCUUCUAUCAAUCUUAGUGGCGAACGGGUGAGUAACGCGUAAUCAACCUGCCCUUCAGAGGGGGACAACAGUUGGAAACGACUGCUAAUACCGCAUACGAUCUAAACUCGGCAUCGAGGAUAGAUGAAAGGUGGCCUCUACAUGUAAGCUAUCACUGAAGGAGGGGAUUGCGUCUGAUUAGCUAGUUGGAGGGGUAACGGCCCACCAAGGCGAUGAUCAGUAGCCGGUCUGAGAGGAUGCACGGCCACAUUGGGACUGAGACACGGCCCAGACUCCUACGGGAGGCAGCAGUGGGGAAUCUUCCGCAAUGGACGAAAGUCUGACGGAGCAACGCCGCGUGAGUGAUGACGGCCUUCGGGUUGUAAAGCUCUGUUAAUCGGGACGAAAGGCCUUCUUGCGAAUAGUGAGAAGGAUUGACGGUACCGGAAUAGAAAGCCACGGCUAACAACGUG